UAAGAAGAAGUGAAAUAUUACAUUUAGUUUCGACCUAAAAAUUGGCUAAGGCCCUUCUU
This 59-nucleotide transfer RNA is filed under the name Spinactaletes boneti. Its description in RNAcentral is "tRNA-Arg". Lineage: Eukaryota; Metazoa; Arthropoda; Collembola; Entomobryomorpha; Actaletidae. The record is from RNAcentral.